GAUUGAACGCUGGCGGCAGGCCUAACACAUGCAAGUCGGACGGUAGCACAGAGAGCUUGCUCUCGGGUGACGAGUGGCGGACGGGUGAGUAAUGUCUGGGGAUCUGCCCGAUAGAGGGGGAUAACCACUGGAAACGGUGGCUAAUACCGCAUAACGUCGCAAGACCAAAGAGGGGGACCUUCGGGCCUCUCACUAUCGGAUGAACCCAGAUGGGAUUAGCUAGUAGGCGGGGUAACGGCCCACCUAGGCGACGAUCCCUAGCUGGUCUGAGAGGAUGACCAGCCACACUGGAACUGAGACACGGUCCAGACUCCUACGGGAGGCAGCAGUGGGGAAUAUUGCACAAUGGGCGCAAGCCUGAUGCAGCCAUGCCGCGUGUAUGAAGAAGGCCCUCGGGUUGUAAAGUACUUUCAGCGGGGAGGAAGGCAACAAGGUUAAUAACCUUGUUGAUUGACGUUACCCGCAAAAGAAGCACCGGCUAACUCCGUGCCAGCAGCCGCGGUAAUACGGAGGGUGCAAGCGUUAAUCGGAAUUACUGGGCGUAAAGCGCACGCAGGCGGUCUGUUAAGUCAGAUGUGAAAUACCCGGGCUUAACCUGGGAACUGCAUUUGAAACUGGCAGGCUUGAGUCUCGUAGAGGGGGGUAGAAUUCCAGGUGUAGCGGUGAAAUGCGUAGAGAUCUGGAGGAAUACCGGUGGCGAAAGGCGGCCCCCUGGACGAAGACUGACGCUC
RNAcentral lists this ribosomal RNA (731 nucleotides) under uncultured Pantoea sp. Its description in RNAcentral is "bacterial SSU rRNA". It matches the Rfam family "Bacterial small subunit ribosomal RNA", at positions 27 to 748 of the family's 1533-position model. The record is from RNAcentral. Lineage: Bacteria; Pseudomonadati; Pseudomonadota; Gammaproteobacteria; Enterobacterales; Erwiniaceae.